AGCGAACGCUGGCGGCGUGCCUAACACAUGCAAGUCGAACGUGAAAGGGAGCAAUCCCAAGUAAAGUGGCGUACGGGUGAGUAACACGUAGGUAAUCUACCCCAGAAUCUGGAAUAACCGGCCGAAAGGCUGGCUAAUACUGGAUAGAGCGACGGAAUCCGUAAUUGGGUUUUUCGGGAAAGGGAGCCUGUAAAAAGGCCUUCGUUCUGGGAUGAGCCUGCGUCCCAUCAGCUAGUUGGUGAGGUAAAAGCUUACCAAGGCAAUGACGGGUAGCUGGUCUGAGAGGACGAUCAGCCACACUGGAACUGAAACACGGUCCAGACGCCUACGGGAGGCAGCAGUGGGGAAUCUUGCGCAAUGGACGAAAGUCUGACGCAGCAACGCCGCGUGAGGGAAGAAGGCCUUCGGGUUGUAAAGCUCUGUCGAGUGGGACGAAAAUGCUUGGAGUUCACAGCUCCAGGAACUGACGGUACCACUAAAGGAAGCACCGGCUAACUCCGUG
Molecule: ribosomal RNA, 502 nt
Filed under: uncultured bacterium
Lineage: Bacteria
Description: partial 16S ribosomal RNA
Rfam family: Bacterial small subunit ribosomal RNA
Source: RNAcentral